UUAAAGGGGGAUUCUGCCGUGCCG
Molecule: microRNA, 24 nt
Filed under: Oreochromis niloticus (Nile tilapia)
Lineage: Eukaryota; Metazoa; Chordata; Actinopteri; Cichliformes; Cichlidae
Description: oni-miR-10936
Source: miRBase by way of RNAcentral